RNAcentral lists this ribosomal RNA (558 nucleotides) under uncultured fungus. RNAcentral's name for it is "eukaryotic LSU rRNA". The stretch from base 195 to 348 matches the Rfam family "5.8S ribosomal RNA". Lineage: Eukaryota; Fungi. The record is from RNAcentral.
CUUGGUCAUUUAGAGGAAGUAAAAGUCGUAACAAGGUUUCCGUAGGUGAACCUGCGGAAGGAUCAUCAACAAAUCUAUAAUGUUGGGGAUAAAAGCCCGACAAAUACCAAUGUGAAUUGGGAGGGCAACCUCUCUAGGCCAAUUUUUGGCCAAGUAUACUAGACCAGAGUCGGAUAAGUAAAAAUAAUAUAAACAACUUUUAACAAUGGAUCUCUUGGCUCUUGCAACGAUGAAGGGCGCAGUGAAUUGCGAUAAGUAGUGUGACUUGCAACCUCUGUGAAUCAUCGAAUUUUUGAACGCAUCUUGCACUCUCUGGGUCUACUGGAGAGUAUACCUGUUUGAGUAUCAGAAAGUACUCUACUCUGUGGAGUAGGAGAUGAGGUUUAGUGUAUUACAUUAUUCCUUGGAAAGCAUGUGUGAAAGGUCAACCUUUUGUGCGGUAGGAAUAGGUAGUAUUCUCCCACAUUAAUGGCUGGAAGCAACGAAUUUUUACAAGAACUUUGAUCUCAAAUCAGGUAGGACUACCCGCUGAACUUAAGCAUAUCAAUAAGCGGAGGA